CCCGCUGAACUUAAGCAUAUCAAUAAGCGGAGGAAAAGAAACUAACAAGGAUUCCCCUAGUAACUGCGAGUGAAGCGGGAAAAGCUCAAAUUUAAAAUCUGGCGGUCUCGCGGCCGUCCGAGUUGUAAUCUGGAGAAGCGUCUAUCCGCGUCGGACCGUGUACAAGUCUUCUGGAAGGGAGCGUCGUAGAGGGUGAGAAUCCCGUCUUUGACACGGACAACCGAUGCUCUUGUGAUGCGCUCUCGAAGAGUCGAGUUGUUUGGGAAUGCAGCUCAAAAUGGGUGGUAAAUUCCAUCUAAAGCUAAAUAUUGGCGAGAGACCGAUAGCGAACAAGUACCGUGAGGGAAAGAUGAAAAGCACUUUGGAAAGAGAGUUAAACAGUACGUGAAAUUGUUGAAAGGGAAACGUUUGAAGUCAGUCGCGUCGGCCGAGACUCAACCUUGCGCUCGCGCUCGGUGCACUUCUCGGUUGACGGGUCAGCAUCAAUUUCGACCGCCGGACAAAGGUUGGGGGAAUGUGGCAUCCUUCGGGAUGUGUUAUAGCCCUUGAUUCACAUACGGCGAUUGGGAUUGAGGAACUCGGCGCCUCGCGCGUCCAGGAUGCUGGCGUAAUGGCUUUAAACGACCCGUCUUGAAACACGG
Molecule: ribosomal RNA, 641 nt
Filed under: uncultured fungus
Lineage: Eukaryota; Fungi
Description: eukaryotic LSU rRNA
Rfam family: Eukaryotic large subunit ribosomal RNA
Source: RNAcentral